AGCUAGGGUUAUCUACACACUGCCUAGUUGCUCCUCCCCAGACCAUCGGAAGGGGUUUUCGUCCUUUUACAGAUGGCAUGUUAAACCUGGCACGUGGUGGACACAGCCCAGGACUCCAUGUGGCUUCCCCAACGAUGGACCAGACAUGUUGCUCACAGGUAUCAGAAUCAUUUCAUCUUGACCCCAAACCUGGAUGUCGAAAGAUUUCAAGUAACAUGUUUCUGCUUUCAGGGAACCCUGAGCAACCCCACCUGGUUGGUGAGUGGAACAUCAAAGUCCACCUGUUCGGCUGAGAUCACCUUUUCCUAUAAAGUCACAAUGGUCUUGCACUCAGAGAAAUAUGCAAGCACAGGAGUGGAUGGAUUUUCUGUUCUAUUAAACCAUGUUCUUUUUGAGCAUCUUCUUAUGUCACUCACAUUAGGCAUUGGUCACCCAGCUAUUAAAAAGGAAGGCAAUCUGUGCCAUAAUGAAACACUUGUUUAAGAGGUGAUGCAAAUUGUAGGUAAAUAACGAAAAAACAAAAGCAAUGGACGAGGCUAGAGUCCAAUAACAAGUCCUCUGAAACAUAAUUUUCUCUCCCCAUUUUCCCAUUUUUCACUAAAGACAUUUCACGAAAGCCAGUAGUACCAGUUUAUUUGUAAAAUAAAUUUUAGCCUCAUUAUACUUGCCCUGAUUAUUUGCAUAAAGUGUAACAAGAAUAGUUAUUGGCCAUAU
Nycticebus coucang (slow loris) is the source of this 714-nucleotide long non-coding RNA. RefSeq lists it as uncharacterized. The record is from RefSeq and is a predicted model, not a curated record. Lineage: Eukaryota; Metazoa; Chordata; Mammalia; Primates; Lorisidae. The transcript is spliced from 3 exons.